Molecule: ribosomal RNA, 177 nt
Filed under: Vibrio cholerae
Lineage: Bacteria; Pseudomonadati; Pseudomonadota; Gammaproteobacteria; Vibrionales; Vibrionaceae
Also listed under: 2 other names
Description: partial 16S ribosomal RNA
Rfam family: Bacterial small subunit ribosomal RNA
Source: RNAcentral
UAAUUGAAGAGUUUGAUCAUGGCUCAGAUUGAACGCUGGCGGCAGGCCUAACACAUGCAAGUCGAGCGGCAGCACAGAGGAACUUGUUCCUUGGGUGGCGAGCGGCGGACGGGUGAGUAAUGCCUGGGAAAUUGCCCGGUAGAGGGGGAUAACCAUUGGAAACGAUGGCUAAUACCG